AGGGAUGUAGCUCAAAAUGGUAGAGCCCUCAGCUUGUAAUUUUCUUUACAAGAUGAGAAGAUCAAGGUUCGAAUCCUUGCGUCCCGC
Molecule: transfer RNA, 87 nt
Filed under: Malus domestica (apple)
Lineage: Eukaryota; Viridiplantae; Streptophyta; Magnoliopsida; Rosales; Rosaceae
Description: tRNA MD14G0056300
Rfam family: tRNA
About the family: Transfer RNA (tRNA) molecules are approximately 80 nucleotides in length.
Source: Rfam by way of RNAcentral